Molecule: ribosomal RNA, 422 nt
Filed under: uncultured bacterium
Lineage: Bacteria
Description: bacterial SSU rRNA
Rfam family: Bacterial small subunit ribosomal RNA
Source: RNAcentral
UGAGGAAUAUUGGGCAAUGCCCGCAAGGGUGACCCAGCAACGCCGCGUGGAGGAUGAAUGUCGUAAGAUUGUAAACUCCUGUUAGAGGGGAAGAAUAGUACCGGUUGGAUCGGUAUAUGACUGUACCCUCAGAGAAAGCCCCGGCUAACUACGUGCCAGCAGCCGCGGUAAUACGUAGGGGGCAAGCGUUGUCCGGAUUUACUGGGUGUAAAGGGCGCGCAGGCGGGAUAAAAAGUCAGUGGUGAAAUCUCCGGGCUUAACCCGGAAACUGCCGUUGAUACUAUUUGUCUUGAAUAUUGUGGAGGUAAGCGGAAUAUGUCAUGUAGCGGUGAAAUGCUUAGAUAUGACAUAGAACACCGAUUGCGAAGGCAGCUUACUACGCAAUCAUUGACGCUGAGGCACGAAAGCGUGGGGAUCAAACA